This 309-nucleotide ribosomal RNA is filed under the name uncultured bacterium. Its description in RNAcentral is "bacterial SSU rRNA". It matches the Rfam family "Bacterial small subunit ribosomal RNA", at positions 29 to 334 of the family's 1533-position model. The record is from RNAcentral.
AGCGAACGUUUGCGGCGGGCUUAACACAUGCAAGUCGAACGAGAACCAUUCCUUCGGGGAUGGGGACAGUGGCGCACGGGUGCGUAACACGUGGGUAACCAACCCCCUAGACUGGGACAACCCGAGGAAACUCGGGCUAAUACCGGAUGUGCCGUUUGGAUCUUCGGGUCUGAUCGGGAAGGGAGCAAUCUGCUAGGGGACGGGCUCGCGGCCCAUCAGCUUGUUGGCGAGGUAAUGGCUCACCAAGGCUAAGACGGGUAGCUGGUCUGAGAGGAUGAUCAGCCACACUGGAACUGAGACACGGUCCAG